Tricholoma furcatifolium is the source of this 90-nucleotide non-coding RNA. The record is from the annotation of a GenBank genome assembly. NCBI's taxonomy places the organism in Eukaryota, Fungi, Basidiomycota, Agaricomycetes, Agaricales, Tricholomataceae.
GCAUUAAUGGGGUAGUGGUAACCUGGGUCGUUGCCAUGCAUGAUGCGAGUCUAGCUCGACCCGCCGGGGGUUCGAUUCCCCCUUAAUGCA